This 500-nucleotide ribosomal RNA is filed under the name marine sediment bacterium ISA-3244-b. RNAcentral's name for it is "bacterial SSU rRNA". It matches the Rfam family "Bacterial small subunit ribosomal RNA", at positions 45 to 526 of the family's 1533-position model. The record is from RNAcentral.
UGCCUAAUACAUGCAAGUCGAGCGAACUGAUUAGAAGCUUGCUUCUAUGACGUUAGCGGCGGACGGGUGAGUAACACGUGGGCAACCUGCCUGUAAGACUGGGAUAACUUCGGGAAACCGAAGCUAAUACCGGAUAGGAUCUUCUCCUUCAUGGGAGAUGAUUGAAAGAUGGUUUCGGCUAUCACUUACAGAUGGGCCCGCGGUGCAUUAGCUAGUUGGUGAGGUAACGGCUCACCAAGGCAACGAUGCAUAGCCGACCUGAGAGGGUGAUCGGCCACACUGGGACUGAGACACGGCCCAGACUCCUACGGGAGGCAGCAGUAGGGAAUCUUCCGCAAUGGACGAAAGUCUGACGGAGCAACGCCGCGUGAGUGAUGAAGGCUUUCGGGUCGUAAAACUCUGUUGUUAGGGAAGAACAAGUACAAGAGUAACUGCUUGUACCUUGACGGUACCUAACCAGAAAGCCACGGCUAACUACGUGCCAGCAGCCGCGGUAAUAC